CAUAAACCAAAAAUUGGAAAAGCUUGAAGAGGGGUUCUUCAAUAUCCAUAAGACUAGGGCCCUCCGAGCAAAUCAUGGACGGGGCAUGUCUGCUGUUGCAUUUGUUUCCUUCCAUUAAUAUGAUAUUCGUGGGGAUAUAUUUUCUCUUACUCAAACAUUCCUCCUAUUGCCCAGGGCGUAUCUCCAUGCCGUGGAGGACUCCCACGCAGGUCUGUGAUUGUUUGGUCUCUCCCGGCCCGACCUUCUUGGAGUUUCCAAGGAUUCCAUCACCGUGGGCCUCACAUGCUUCCCUGGGGAUUUAGUGCAAUUGGCUUCUUCCCAUUUUAUACAGAGAUUGUUGC
This 341-nucleotide long non-coding RNA is filed under the name Androctonus crassicauda. Lineage: Eukaryota; Metazoa; Arthropoda; Arachnida; Scorpiones; Buthidae. The record is from RNAcentral.